This 29725-nucleotide long non-coding RNA is filed under the name Setaria viridis. RNAcentral describes it as "long non-coding RNA (SVIR_LNC005017)". The record is from RNAcentral. Lineage: Eukaryota; Viridiplantae; Streptophyta; Magnoliopsida; Poales; Poaceae.
CUUUGCCCUUCACGAUGAGAUUCCCAGUGUCCAAGAGCUGAGCUUGUUCUGCAUUUGAGGAGUUCACGUUGUUGGUCCACACAAUCUGGCCACCGUGGUCCCUUAGAACCAUGCUCCCAUCGAAAUUUAACUUGACCUUUGAUCCCCAGGUGUACACAGGGCGGAGAGGAUUUGCACUCCAUACAACAGUUCUUUCAGACACUUUGGAGAACCAAAUGGAGAAGGUGAAUGUGUUGGGGGAGAUUUCGUAGAAGCCACAGCUGAACGUACCAUCUGGCGAACGGAGUACAUCGGAGCUGCGAUCUGCUGAGAGAGAGAAGCCUGAAGAGAGGACAUUUAGAGCUGAGACUUGCAAAAUCAGAUGAAUCAGAGUGAGAAGAACCACAAAUCUGGAAACCGCACCCAUGGUUAUUGCAGCAUUUGAGUUGUGUUCGCGUGACCUGAAUGGAGGACGAUGUUAUAGGGACCCAACUUGCAAUGCAGCGUCCAUCCUCAAGAAGCAAGUGGGAGACUCGGCCCACAGCGUUCACGUCAGUCACAGUCCGAUGAGCUGUGAACCUGGUGGUGCAGUCUCUUUGUCCUCCAUGCUUCAGCCUUACAAAACAGAGUAUCUUUUUGACUUUUUUGACUGAGAGGGACUGCACUACUGUGACUGGGUUCUUAUCAUGUUAUUAAUUUCUCAAAUGAGCUAACUGUUUAAAAGUUAAGUUGUUUCUCUAUGUGACAUGUAAGGUUUCAGGUUGUCAGUUGUAUGCAGACUUAAAAGUACCCACUUUUUAAACGAGCAAAGUCCAUUUUUAACCAUUAAAUUAUCGUUGGCGUUUGAUUUUGGCCAUAAAACUCAACAACCGGAAAUCUUCUGCCAUCCAAAUUGCAAUGCACUCUUAGUCAUGGAGACUCCUCAGGAAGGAAUGUCAUUUUGUUCUUUGAAGAAGACUGACUUAUGGGAGAGGUCAGGUCUGAACAUAGUGGUAUGUGCGGCCAUUAGGCAAGUGCCCUCACAUGGGUGCUUUGGAAAAGAAAACAUUUAGAAUUCAUUAGAAUUCGUUGACGUUUGAUUUUGGUCAUAAAACUCAAAAACCGGAAAUCUCUACCAUCCAACUAUCAAACCGUUUACAUUUUGCCAUCUAGUUAUUUCAAAAGGUGGUUUCACCAAUGUGGACAAUACAUGGUAGUGGAACCCAUAUGUUAGCAGUAUCUUCUUCCUCUCUCCCUCCCUCCUCCGCCUCUCUCCACCCUCUUUCUAUAGUAGAAGAGAUUGACAUAGCGGCGGUACCUCCAAGCUCCUCUAAGCGGUGGUGCCCCAGCUCCCCGCUGAGGUGGCGCUUGAGUUCCUUGCUACAGUGGCGUCUAGGCUCCCACCACGGAGGCACCCGAGAUUCUUGGUGCGGAGGCAACUCAGGCCUAACCCCUAGGCGGCAACGGAUGAGGUGAGCGAGGGCGAGGUAGGGGAGAGGAGGAUGCAGUGGAGGAGAUGAGGUCGUGAGUUCCACAUUCGGAUUUGGAGCAGUGUCACACCUGGUUUUAAAGACAAACUAAGUGACUAUCAUAUGUGUGUCAGGAUCAAGUUUCACACAUACGAUGACUUCAAUAAAUAUCAAAUACAGUGUUAUAACAUAAAGAGAGUUACAUAUAUUACCUAACCAGAAAUGAGAUGAAAAUCUCUAGUAUAAGCAGCGCAUCUCCUACAACUCCUCAUGCAGUUGACUGGGGGAAACGUACGCCUAGCAAAUCUUCAAAGUCUUCAACAGAGUUGUCUUGUACUGAACAGUAGAUAUACCAAGUGUGAGUACACUUAUGGUUGUUACUCAGCAAGUGUGGGAAAAUAUGUAGUGUAAGGCCAAAACAAGGAAUAGCUAGCUGGUUUACUGCGUUAAGCAUUUUAAUUAGUUGGUCAAAUUUUAUUAGCAAGAUAUUUACUAAAAUAUAAGUUUAUACAUGUAACACCCAAAAUUUCAAUAAUUCAAACUCAUUAAAAUUUGCUCAAAUUAAGGUGUUAUUUAAUUUCUAGGUAUUUAAUUUCAUUUUCCUUAAUUCAAUUAAUUCAUCAUAGGAAUUAUUUGUGCAUUCAUGCUGGUGCAUUUAUUUUGAUUGCUUGAGUUUGAUCAAAGUUUGAAUUUCCAAAUUUGAAUUCAAAUUUCCAAAACCAUUUUCUAUUUCCCUUUCUCUUUCUUUUCCUUCUUCUCUACCUGGGCUGAAAGCUCCUUCUCCCUCCUUUUCUUUUUCUUCUCCGGCCCAGCUCGUUCUCCUCCGCGCGGCCCAGCUCCCCGCCGCGUCGCCCCCUCCUCCGUUUCCUCUUCUGCCGGCCCAGCCCGCCGCUUUGCCUCCUCCCCGCGGCUCACGCGCGCUCGCGCCGGCCCAGCUCCGCUCGGCCUGCUCCGCCCGCCGCUUCCUCGCCCGCGCCUCGCGGCCCACCAACGCCGCGCCAGCCCACGAAGACGCGCCGGCCCGCCACCUGCCUUCUCCUUCCUCCGGCCGGAUUCUCCUCCGCCCGCAACCGCCGCGCGCCGUCUCCGCCGCGGACUCCCUCCGCUCCGCCUCCUUCGGGGGGGGUUUAAACCCCGGGCCCUCUAUCUCUAGCGCCUAUAAAAGCCGCCCCCCCUCCCGGUCUCCUCCACCAGCACCCGCGCCCCAAAACCCUAGCCGCUCGAGCUUCUAGCGCCGCCGCCUCUUCCUCGCCGCCGUUCGCCGUCGCCGGUGAGCCCCCGUCAACAAGAACCCCCAAAACGGGAUCGCCGUGUUCCUCACUCUCUUUUGGUGCAACCCGCGCGUUAAACCGUGCACUGUGGCGUGAUUUCGCCCAACUCCGGCGACCCGCCGCCGCUCGCCGUCGUGCGCCGCCGCUCGCCGCCGCUGCCGCUCUAGUUUCCGCCGCCGUCGCGAGUCGUCGUCGACCGCAGCCGUCGGAUCAAGAUCCGACGGUCAAUCGCGGGUCAAUCCGGCCGCGUACCGGUCAACCGAGCCGCGCCGCGCCGCUUUUGCACUUAAGACCCUGUCUUUUCCGCAAAUCAACCCGCGAUCCAGAUCGCGUUGAAAAUAUUUACAGAUCUGCCCUCGCAUUUUUCGGUUUAACCCUUGAGCUUUCCAGAAAUCAACCCGCCGUCCGGGUAUGUUGUUUUUACGCGUCAGACCCUCGGUUUAUACGCAUAAUUACGUAUAAGCCCUCGGUUUUCGCGGAUAGGCCCUAAAAGUUUUGUUUUUCUUACAGAAAAGUCCCUGGAUCUUGUUUUAAUCAUAUCUUUUGCAUCUUAACUCCGUUUUUCGCGUUCUUUAUAUCCACGUGUUCGUUUUAAAGCGUAGAUCAUCUUUUCAAGCUUGUUGUCUCUGUUUGACUAUGUUUGGUGUACUGUUUUCUUACUUUUGCCCAUGUUUGCUUGUAUGUGCUCGUGUGACGCGUGUAGACGCCCCGCAGUUCGAGGGAGUUGCCGAUCAAGCCUUCGAGGAGUACGAACAGCAGGAGCAAGGCCAAGAAGGCAAGUCGUGUCCUUGAUCACUACCUUGUUGUCCUAUACACCUUUACUUUCUCGUACUCAACAUUAUGCCAUGCACAUGUUAAGAUUAAAUUGAUGGGUCCCAAUUAAGGUUCGCCUAGAUUGAUUUACCUUUGCCUUGACCAACCGGUUUACUUUAUGUUGGGUAGCUCAUGCUUAGUGCUUACUUGGUAUAUGGUGGUUUAACUAAACACAAAGCUUAAUCUUGCUUUACUUCUGUUAUACCUUUCAUUAAGACAAGAUCAUUAUUUGUUAAUCGGAACAUGGAGCGACCACCCAGGAAAACAGUGCUACCACAAGACUAAAUGGCUCUGGUCUUGGCUGAUUAAUUAGAAACCUUAGUCUGGGGUGACCUUACUCGUGAUGAGGCAAGAGGGGGGACUGAGUCGUUGCAUUUACCUGGGAUGGGUGGUGCACGCCAGACACCGAAACCUUAGCGGGUUACCACUGAUUAAGGAAUCUUUGUAAAGGCCUCGUAGCGUCCCUAUGCAAUCACACCUCGGAAGUGUGGUAUGGUGCCUUGCAAACACCGCAUGGUUGGGUCCAAAGUUCUUAUGAACUUUUACGCGACUUGUGGGUAAAGAUGUGCCACCUCUGCAGAGUGUUAAACUGAUCGAUCAGCCGUGCUCACGGUUAAGAGCGGCCUGGACCCUCACAUGAUAAUAUUAUCGGAAGAUGGACUUAACUUGUUAUCAUUUCAUGCAUUUGUUGCUUACUUUAUGUUCAUGUUUAAUUUUGGGUGGUAUGAACUUAUACUUAGUUAAUUGCUAAUAAAACUUGACCAACUUAAUUAAAAGCGAAUGCUAUUUAUGCCUUAGCCAUACCUUGAAUUAGCCUUACACUACACUAUUCCCCACGACUUGUUGAGUACCAACCAUAAGUGUACUCACCCUUGCAAAACCGCUGUUCAGACCAAGUUAAUUGGGAAGAGGAGUACUUCCACGACUUCGAGGAGUUCUAGGCGUACGUUUCUUCAGUCAGCUGCCUGUGGAGUCGUCAUCAUCUUUGGAGUUCCGCUGCGUAAUAAUUAGACUUUGUGGUUUAUUUGAGACAUUCGGUCAUGUAAUAAUGGUUAAUACUCUCUUUAUUCGAUCUAGCACUGUCUUUGCUAUUCACUAUUGUCGUACAUGUGUGUAACUUGAUCCUGGCGCACAUGUAUUUAAUCACUCGAUUUUGUCCUUAAAAUUGGGUGUGACAAAAGUGGUAUCAGAGUCGUGUUGACUGUAGGACGUUAGCCUAGUUAGAAAAUGGUCGUAUUUAAGGAUUAUAAUAAUCUAGUAGCCAUUCUACCUUUCUUAUUUAAAUCUACUUAAUUAUUCUUAAACUUGAUUUGUCUCAUCCUUAUUGCUAUUCUAUUAUCUAGCUUUGUUCAAAAUUUUAUUCUAAAAAUUUCUUCUUUCUUUCUGCUAGAUGGCUCGCACCCGGUUGACCGCACGCAAGAGCACCCGUCCGCCGCGUCAUGGCAUCGCGCCGUCGCACGCCCCCGUGGAUCCUUGGGACGAGGAAGAAGAGGAAGAGAUCUUCCAGCAUCCGGGGGAUGACUCGGACGAGGACGCCGUGACCGUGGAGCAGGAGACCACGCCGGCACCAGCACCAUCUCCAGCACCGGCGCCCGCUCCUGCACCAGCCCCGACGCCCGUACCGGUCGUCGACUUGACGGAUGAUGAGCCCGAAGCAGAUCCCGAGCCCGAGACAUGGAUCAAAUGGGUGAAGGAAGACUAUGGCCAAGGAGUGCACAUGGCCGACAUCCUUAGGUGGACUUGUCACCGCUUGGGGUACGGCAUGAGGCCACUCUACAAGUGCUCCCGGUUCACCCACCCUCGCUAUCCCACUUUUUGGGAGGUGAAGGUUGUCCUUCGUGAGGAGCACGAAGGAGGAUGGGAGGUGAAGGCUAUUCACCAUGAUGUGACCAUCAGGAGGACCAUGGAGUCCGGCAUUGCCGAGGCCGCCAGGAGGGCACUUGAGGUCGUCUCCCACAAGGAACGGCCGCGACUGCAGCACACUUACCAUCGGUUCCUUCCUUACCGAGCUAGUGGGGAAGCAAGAACCUUCAUCGCUACUAAUGAUGGGGUUGACAUGGCUACAGACUUCCUCCACAAGUACACGUCGGCAGCUCUCACCGCACUGAAUGAAGCAAACAACCAUAUCCAGGAGCUUCAGCAGGAGGUUCAGGAACUCCGGUGGGAGAGGGAUGCGAAUAUGGCUGCCGCGACGGGAGCACCGCCGCCGCAGGAAUUUGCUGUUCAUCCCGCUUCGUCGCCGUCGCCUAAGCGUCCCCGCUACGACUCGCCCGGCGCCGCCGCAGAAGACCUCUAGGAAAUUAGGAGUGUUUUAGUUUAAAUUCUUGUAAUCGUUAGACGUCGUUCGAGUGUGUUAGUUAAAGUGUGCUUAGCUGUUUGGUUUUGUGCUACAUGUUUGAGUUGGAUUUUGUAAUGAGUGCGGUAUGUGGGGCAAUUGCCACACGAUACUGGUCUUAAUAAAAUAAAGUGCCUAGUUGGGUUUUAUUUCUGUUCUAAAUCAGUAAUUAAUCUUCCUUAAUCAUGAUCUACCAUCUGUCUGAAUGUAUCUAUCAUGCAAGCUAAGCGACAUUCAAUUCUGUUCUCGACAUUAUCUGACACGCCAGUACUGUUUUAUUUAUAUCUCGAGCUAAGGAAGUCCAAAUGACAUGAAACCAGUGGGCUUAGUUUCAUAACUUCGUGGAGUAUUUUCUGUAAAAUUUUCAGAAUUUUUGGAUUACCUGUCUGGGAGAUGUAUGCAAAAUAGUAAAGCACUCAGAAUCUGAAACUGUCAACCGACACUGUCAGCUUGUUAAUUUUGUAACUCGAGAUCCAGAAGUCCGAUUGAGAUGAUUCAAGUUGGGUUGGUUCAAAAAUUUAAUAAGUUACGACUUGGUAAUUUUUCAGUAUUUAUGGACACUUCUUCCGACGACCACACCUAAUUAAAUGGAGCUAACAGAAUCUGUUUUACUUUUACAUCUUGUCGCUUUAUCUUUCUUAGUUAUUCUUUCACACAUCUAUCUAAAUCUAUUGUCUCUAACGCUCAGAUGGUAAACACCAGGUCCGGAUCAGGAGUUGACCGUCCCGCAGUGCCUCGCCUCAGGGACAACAGCAGCAAUCCCAGCACCGCUCCGCAGCAGAACCAGCAAGCACCUGCAGGGAUGGAGCAGUUUUUAGCAGCUCAGACUCAGCUUCUCGCCGGACUGACCAACACCGUGGCAGCUUUACAAGCUCAGCUGAACAAUAACAACAACAACAACCAGCAGCAGCCACCGCCAAGGGACAGGCACAGGGAGUUCAUGAGCCACAAGCCCCCGACGUUUUCACAUUCUCCGGAUCCAUUAGAUGCUGAUGAUUGACUGAAAACAGUGGAGAAGAUGCUGAAUAUCGCCCAGUGUACUGACAGGGAGAAGGUCCUGUACGCUUCAGGACGCCUGGAAGGGCCAGCUGCUGAUUGGUGGGAUGCUUACACCGCCGCACAUGCCAAUGCUAAUGGCAUUACCUGGGAUGAAUUCCGGACUAACUUCAGAAGUCAUCAUAUUAUUCUGGUUAAUGAUGCUUAAAAAGAAGGAGUUCCUUGCUCUUAAGCAGGGGAACAUGACAGUGGCAGAGUACAGGGACAAGUUUGUCCAGUUGUCCCGAUAUGCUCCCGAAGAUGUUGCUGAUGAUGAGCAGAAGCAGGAGCUGUUCUUGGAUGGGUUGAUUGGACCGCUCCAAUAUCAGCUUAUGUCGCACACCUUCCCCAGUUUCCAGAAGAUGCUAGACAAGGCAAUUGGCCUGGAACACAAGAGGAACGAGCUCAGGGAGAUGAAGAGGAAAUUCAAUUCCCAGUCGUCUUCAAGAAGCAACACCCGCCCUCGCUUUGCUCCACAGCAAGGGACGCCGUUCCGCGCAGGGGGCCCGAGUGGGAAUUUUGGGCAGCAGUCAUUCCCGCGCCCUGCUCAGAAGUCAUUCCAGCGCCCCAGCCCUCAGUUCCAGCGUCCAGGGAUGCAGACUCCGCGCCCCGGCUUUACGCAGAACCGCCAGAUGACCCCUACUGGCACUCCAGCAAGGUCCAAUGCUCCAGUAGGUCCUACUUGCUUCAAAUGUGGCGAGGUUGGUCAUUAUGCCAGCUCUUGUCCUAAGAGAGGUGGACCAGCUACCCCCGUGCAGAAUAGCAGUGCUCCUCGGCAGAAUCAGAUGCAGCAACCGAGGAACGGGAACCAGACCCCACAAGGCAAUCAGGGGCAACAAAGCUUUGUUCGUGGCAAGGUGAACCACAUGGAAGCCGAGACUGCUAAAGAGGCUCCAGAUGUAGUGCUCGGUAUGUUCUUUGUCAACUCUGCCCCCGCAUCAGUUUUAUUUGACUCUGGAGCAUCGCAUUCUUUUGUCACUAGUCAUUAUGUAGCAAAACAUAAUUUACCCAUGCAUACAAUGAGGCGCCAUAUGCUAGUAAGUUCACCUGGGGGGUCAAUGAAGGCUCAAUACAUCUGUCCACAAGUUAAACUGAGAAUAAUGGGUAUAGAGUUUCCGGCUGAUCUUAUCGUCCUUGAAUCCGGUGGAAUCGAUGUAAUUCUGGGAAUGAGAUGGUUAGCCGCUUUUGAUGCAAUGAUUCAGUGUGCCAAGAGGACAGUUCUGCUCACAGGUCCUGAUGGAGAGAAAGUGGAGUUUGUAGCUACUAUACCGUCAGCAGCAGAUUGUGCAGUUAAUCAGUUGGCUGAAAAAUCCUUGGAAGAUAUCAAAGUGGUGUGUGACUACCCGGAUGUGUUCCCCGACGAUUUACCAGGUAUGCCACCUGACCGCGACAUUGAAUUUGCUAUUGAUCUUUUACCUGGUACUGCACCUAUCUCCAAACGUCCAUAUAGAAUGUUGGUUGAACAAUUAAAAGAAUUGAAACAACAACUAGAGGAAUUAUCAGCAAAACAGUUUAUUCGGCCUAGUUCAUCACCUUGGGGAGCACCGGUUAUCUUUGUGCCAAAGAAGGACGGUACUCAGAGGAUGUGUGUGGAUUAUAGAGCACUGAACGAGGUGACCGUCAAGAACAAGUACCCAUUGCCUCGCAUUGAGGAUUUGUUCGAUCAGAUGAGAGGAGCCAAGGUAUUCUCCAAGAUUGAUUUGCGAUCGGGAUAUCAUCAGAUGAAGAUCAGGCCAUCUGACAUACCCAAGACCGCUUUUACUUCCAGAUAUGGUCUCUUCGAGUACACGGUAAUGUCGUUCGGGCUGACAAAUGCUCUAGCUUACUUCAUGUAUCUGAUGAAUAAGGUAUUUAUGGAGUACCUGGAUAAGUUCGUUGUGGUGUUCAUUGAUGAUAUCAUGAUUUACUCCAAGAGUGAGGAAGAACAUGAGGAACACUUGAGGUUAGUGCUUCAGAAAUUGAGGGAACAUCAGUUGUAUGCGAAAUUCAGCAAGUGUGAGUUCUGGAUAAAGGAAGUCUCUUUUCUUGGUCAUAUCAUCUCCGAUGGUGGAAUUUCAGUGGAUCCAGGCAAGGUUAGGGAUGUCUUGAAGUGGAAUCCGCCGCAGACAGUAACUGAGAUCAGGAGUUUUCUCGGACUUGCAGGCUAUUACCGCAGGUUCAUUGAAGGAUUCUCCAAGAUAGUAAAGCCCCUCACUACGCUACUAGAAAAAGGAAGGGAAUUCAAAUGGACAAAGGCAUGUCAGGCAAGUUUUGAGGAACUGAAGAAGAGGUUGACCACAGCUCCAGUGUUGGUAAUGCCAGAUCUACAUAAGGGGUACAACAUAUAUUGUGAUGCAUCUCGACAGGGUUUAGGCUGUGUUCUGAUGCAGGAAGGUCAUGUGAUCGCCUAUGCUUCUAGGCAAUUGAGGAAACAUGAGCAGAAUUACCCGACUCAUGAUUUGGAGUUAGCCGCAGUGGUUCAUGCCUUGAAGAUUUGGAGACACUACAUUCUGGGGACUAAGUGUCAGAUCUAUACUGAUCACAAGAGUCUCAAGUACAUCUUCACUCAGAAGGACCUUAAUCUGAGACAGCGACGAUGGUUAGAGCUUAUCAAUGACUAUGAUCUGGAGAUUCACUAUCAUCCUGGUAAGGCUAACCUGGUUGCAGACGCUUUAAGUCGGAAGGGUCAUGUUAACUUAGCCUUAGCAUUCCAGUUACCUGACGAGUUGAUGAAAGAAUUUGAGAGGCUCAACUUGAGCGUCGUUAGGCACACUGAGGGAGCAACGAUGGAAGUGGAGUCGACUUUAGAGAAAGAGAUACGGGUAGGACAGCUUGAGGAUGCCAAGGUCAAGGAAAUCAAGGAGCUGGUAAAGGAAGGAAGAGCCACAGACUAUACAGAAGACUCUCAAGGAACCUUAUGGGUCAAAGGAAGGAUUUGGGUACCCGAUGUGGGAAAUCUCCGUGAGACGAUCUUGAAGGAAGCUCACGAUUCAGUUUAUUCCAUCCACCCCGGCAGUACCAAGAUGUACCAAGAUCUUAAGCAGAAGUAUUGGUGGCCCGGAAUGAAGAAAGAUAUAGCUGCACAUGUAGCCGUUUGCGACAUAUGUCAAAGGGUUAAAGCUGAACACCAGAGGCCAGCUGGAUUGCUUCAACCGUUGAAAGUGCCUGAAUGGAAGUGGGAAGAAAUCGGCAUGGACUUUAUAGUUGGAUUGCCCCGCACUCAAGCUGGUUAUGACUCGAUUUGGGUUAUUGUCGACAGAUUGACAAAGGUAGCACACUUCAUUCCAGUAAAGACUACACACUCUGGGGCAAGGUUAGCAGAGUUGUACAUGUCAAGAAUAGUGUGUUUGCAUGGUGUGCCCAAGAAGAUUGUGUCUGACCGAGGUACUCAGUUCACGUCACGCUUCUGGCAGAAAUUGCAUGAAUCUCUAGGCACAAGGUUGAAUUUCAAUUCUGCUUAUCACCCUCAGACAGAUGGACAGACCGAGAGAACAAAUCAAAUAUUGGAGGAUAUGUUAGAGCAUGUGCAUUGAAGCAUGGAGGUAGUUGGGACAAGAGUCUACCUUAUGCAGAGUUCUCCUAUAAUAACAGUUAUCAAGCCAGUCUCAAAAUGUCACCAUUUGAGGCUUUGUAUGGUAGAAAGUGCCGAACACCCCUUUAUUGGAGUGAAACAGGAGAGAGUCAGUUAUUCGGGCCAGAAAUUAUACAAGAGGCAGAAAGACGGUCCAGAUCAUCCGGGAAAACUUGAGGACUGCUUAGUCUCGACAGAAGAGUUAUGCUGACACCAGGAGAAGGGAAUUGACCUUUGAAGUAGGUGAUUAUGUGUAUCUCAAGGUAUCGCCCAUCAGGGGUAUGCGCAGAUUCAAGGUCAAAGGGAAGUUGUCACCUCGAUUCAUCGGUCCAUUCAAGAUUCUUGAGCGAGUGGGACAGGUAGCCUAUCGAUUGGAGUUGCCUAAUCAGUUGUCGGAUGUACACGAUCUCACAGCUUAAGAAGUGCCUCAGAGUUCCCGAGGAACAGUUGCCAAUGGAGGAAUUGAAUGUUCAGGAUGAUCUCACUUACACGGAAUACCCCAUUAAGAUUUUGGAUACUUCGAAAAGGGUUACAAGGAAUCGGACGAUCAGAAUGUGCAAGGUUCAGUGGAGUCACCAUACAGAGGACGAGGCAACUUGGGAAAGAGAGGAUGAGUUACAGAAGGAAUUUCCCCAUCUCUUUGCAGGAUCUUCCGAAUCUCGAGCACGAGAUUCUUCUUAAGGGGGGUAGGAUUUGUAACACCCAAAAUUUCAAUAAUUCAAACUCAUUAAAAUUUGCUCAAAUUAAGGUGUUAUUUAAUUUCUAGGUAUUUAAUUUCAUUUUCCUUAAUUCAAUUAAUUCAUCAUAGGAAUUAUUUGUGCAUUCAUGCUGGUGCAUUUAUUUUGAUUGCUUGAGUUUGAUCAAAGUUUGAAUUUCCAAAUUUGAAUUCAAAUUUCCAAAACCAUUUUCUAUUUCCCUUUCUCUUUCUUUUCCUUCUUCUCUACCUGGGCUGAAAGCUCCUUCUCCCUCCUUUUCUUUUUCUUCUCCGGCCCAGCUCGUUCUCCUCCGCGCGGCCCAGCUCCCCGCCGCGUCGCCCCCUCCUCCGUUUCCUCUUCUGCCGGCCCAGCCCGCCGCUUUGCCUCCUCCCCGCAGCUCACGCGCGCUCGCGCCGGCCCAGCUCCGCUCGGCCUGCUCCGCCCGCCGCUUCCUCGCCCGCGCCUCGCGGCCCACCAACGCCGCGCCGGCCAACGAAGACGCGCCGGCCCGCCACCUGCCUUCUCCUUCCUCCGGCCGGAUUCUCCUCCGCCCGCAACCGCCGCGCACCGUCUCCGCCGCGGACUCCCUCCGCUCCGCCUCCUUCGGGGGGGUUUAAACCCCGGGCCCUCUAUCUCUAGCGCCUAUAAAAGCCGCCGCCCCCUCCCGGUCUCCUCCACCAGCACCCGCGCCCCAAAACCCUAGCCGCUCGAGCUCCUAGCGCCGCCGCCUCUUCCUCGCCGCCGUUCGCCGUCGCCGGUGAGCCCCCGUCGAAAAGAACCCCCAAAACGGGAUCGCCGUGUUCCUCACUCUCUUUUGGUGCAACCCGCGUGUUAAACCGUGCACUGUGGCGUGAUUUCGCCCAACUCCGGCGACCCGCCGCCACUCGCCGUCGCGCGCCGCCGCUCGCCGCCGCCGCCGCUCUGGUUUCCGCCGCCGUCGCGAGUCGUCGUUGACCGCAGCCGUCGGAUCAAGAUCCGACGGUCAAUCGCGGGUCAAUCCGGCCGCGUGCCGGUCAACCGAGCCGCGCCGCGUGACUUUUGCACUUAAGACCCUGUCUUUUCCGCAAAUCAACCCGCGGUCCACAUCGCGUUGAAAAUAUUUACAGAUCUGCCCUCGCAUUUUUCGGUUUAACCCUUGAGCUUUCCAGAAAUCAACCCGCCGUCCGGGUUUGUUGUUUUUACGCGUCAGACCCUCGGUUUAUACGCAUAAUUACGUAUAAGCCCUCGGUUUUCGCGGAUAGGCCCUAAAAGUUUUGUUUUUCUUACAGAAAAGUCCCUGGAUCUUGUUUUAAUCAUAUCUUUUGCAUCUUAACUCCGUUUUUCGCGUUCUUUAUAUCCACGUGUUCGUUUUAAAGCUUAGAUCAUAUUUUCAAGCUUGUUGUCUCUGUUUGACUAUGUUUGGUGUACUGUUUUCUUACUUUUGCCCAUGUUUGCUUGUAUGUGCUCGUGUGACGCGUGUAGACGCCCCGCAGUUCGAGGGAGUUGCCGAUCAAGCCUUCGAGGAGUACGAACAGCAGGAGCAAGGCCAAGAAGGCAAGUCGUGUCCUUGAUCACUACCUUGUUGUCCUAUACACCUUUACUUUCUCAUACUCAACAUUAUGCCAUGCACAUGUUAAGAUUAAAUUGAUGGGUCCCAAUUAAGGUUCGCCUAGAUUGAUUUACCUUUGCCUUGACCAACCGGUUUACUUUAUGUUGGGUAGCUCAUGCUUAGUGCUUACUUGGUAUAUGGUGGUUUAACUAAACACAAAGCUUAAUCUUGCUUUACUUCUGUUAUACCUUUCAUUAAGACAAGAUCAUUAUUUGUUAAUCGGAACAUGGAGCGACCACCCAGGAAAACAGUGCUACCACAAGACUAAAUGGCUCUGGUCUUGGCUGAUUAAUUAGAAACCUUAGUCUGGGGUGACCUUACUCGUGAUGAGGCAAGAGGGGGGACUGAGUCGUUGCAUUUACCUGGGAUGGGUGGUGCAUGCCAGACACCGAAACCUUAGCGGGUUACCACUGAUUAAGGAAUCUUUGUAAAGGCCUCGUAGCGUCCCUAUGCAAUCACACCUCGGAAGUGUGGUAUGGUGCCUUGCAAACACCGCAUGGUUGGGUCCAAAGUUCUUAUGAACUUUUACGCGACUUGUGGGUAAAGAUGUGCCACCUCUGCAGAGUGUUAAACUGAUCGAUCAGCCGUGCUCACGGUUAAGAGCGGCCUGGACCCUCACAUGAUAAUAUUAUCGGAAGAUGGACUUAACUUGUUAUCAUUUCAUGCAUUUGUUGCUUACUUUAUGUUCAUGUUUAAUUUUGGGUGGUAUGAACUUAUACUUAGUUAAUUGCUAAUAAAACUUGACCAACUUAAUUAAAAGCGAAUGCUAUUUAUGCCUUAGCCAUACCUUGAAUUAGCCUUACACUACACUAUUCCCCACGACUUGUUGAGUACCAACCAUAAGUGUACUCACCCUUGCAAAACCGCUGUUCAGACCAAGUUAAUUGGGAAGAGGAGUACUUCCACGACUUCGAGGAGUUCUAGGCGUACGUUUCUUCAGUCAGCUGCCUGUGGAGUCGUCAUCAUCUUUGGAGUUCCGCUGCGUAAUAAUUAGACUUUGUGGUUUAUUUGAGACAUUCGGUCAUGUAAUAAUGGUUAAUACUCUCUUUAUUCGAUCUAGCACUGUCUUUGCUAUUCACUAUUGUCGUACAUGUGUGUAACUUGAUCCUGGCGCACAUGUAUUUAAUGCACUCGAUUUUGUCCUUAAAAUCGGGUGUGACAAUACACCAAAUUAAGCAUAAGAGCAAGAACAUAUCACAAAAAUAAAACACAUGUUAAUUAUUUUUCAAGUUCAAUUAUCAUGCGAGGGUCCAGGCCGCUCUUUACCGUGAGCACGGCUGAUAUAUCAAUUGUACACUCUGCAGAGGUUGUACACUUUCACCGUAAGUCACGUAAAAGUUCAGAAGAACUUUAGACCCAACCAUGCUGUGCAAAAAUAGGUACUUAUCACACUAUCGAGGUGUGGCUGCAUAGGGACACUAAGAGGUCUUUACAAAGAUUCCGUAAUAAGUAAUAACAUGCUAAGGUUUCCUCAUAAGGGGAUGAACCCUCCCCCAAGUGGUGUGUACACCCCUUGACUGGACAAGCCUUUGCACAACUUAUGAACCCCUCUUGCCCUUUCGGUAAGACUAUCACAAACUAGAGUUUCUAAAUAAUUAGCCAAGAUCAGAGCCCAUUGGUCUUAUGGUUGUACUGUUUUCCUGGAUGGUCACACCAUGUUCCAAUUAAGGCAUGUGAGUUGUUGUAAUUAACAAAGGUGCAUAACAUAAAAUAAAUCAGGUUCAUCAUUAUUCAUUUCUUCCCACCAUAAACCAGGUAUAGCAACUAGCAUAGCUACCCAACAAUAAAGUAAAACCCAGGUUGACAAGGGAUAAUAUGGAAAUUAGGUAAAUCCUUAAUUAGGAACCAUCAAAUUAAGACACAAGCGUGCAAAGCAUAUGUUUCAUAUAUAAAUGUUUUAUAGGAUAGAAUGUGAUCAAGGGCACAGCUUGCCUUCCAUAAAGUCAUGUUGUUGUUCAUAGUCUUCGAAGUCUUCUUCUUGAGAUUCCUUGAACUGCGCUCCUUCGGCAUCACACAAUCAUCCAAAGCAACCAUACAAGCAAAAAAAUACAACUAAUAAGAAACAAUACACCAAACAAUAAAAUCUUACUAAAACAACACUUUAAAUCUAUCGUAAACGUUGCAAGGAUCGCAUGAGCGCAAGUUGAAGGAUCUUGAUGUCGCCUAGAGGGGGGUGAAUAGGAGUAACCUGAAAUCGUCACCACUUAAAACAAGUUUAUCAGCGACUUGCGGAUUAUUCGGGAAGUACUUCUGGAGAUUCCCCAAAUUACGGAAUCUCUGAAGAAAUCUUUGGAAUCUCCAAAGAUAGGAAACACACGCCUUAAGCAGCGGAAUAAAACUGUCUACCUGAAAAUCGAAACUUCCGAUUUCAAAAUUGGAACCUCCGGUUUUGGCUCGGGCAGAGAGAACUCCCAAACCUUAUGCGUUGCAAGUGAGGUAAAGAUCAAACCAGGUUUAGAGAGUAUGCUCAAAUAGUGUACCUUAGUAGGAUCACAAAGUUCAUGGACUUUGCAAACACAAACACCCGAGUAGAUCAACCAACAUUACGAAAUCACAAUGAAAUUGAAGUGCAAUACAAAUGUAAGCAAACUAGUGAGGAGACAUAAUGAUUUGUUUCACCGAAGUUCAGAUACACCCCAAGCGAAUCCUACAUCUCCGUUGGGUGCUUCCAAAGAAGCCGGGUUGCACUCAACCCUUUCCCUACUUCACUAGUUAGCUUCUUCCCUUUCGGAGGCAAAGCUCGACCUGCAGAAACUGUCCCAUGGCUCACCACACCUUGGGCGCUCUUGGGCGAUGCAUAGCCAUCUAGGAGGAACACCUCCAAGAGUAACAAAUGUUUCACUUGAAACUGACAAGGUAAACCAAUGCUCAAGAAUAUGAGUGCUCUUCUAGUGCUCUUAAAUGGCUCCUCUCUACAACCCAACUCACAAGAUCUAGCAAAGAUCACACCACCUCACAAAGAGGGGUUGGGAAGAGCUAUUUGGCUUUAGUUCAGCUCAGAACAGGCAAGAAGCACACCAACAACUGCAAAAAAAUAACCAGCCACUGAGGAGGUCAUGGGGUCUAAAUACUCCACUCCUCAAAAACUAGCCGUUAGAGUUGUCAGACCAAAACUGGAACUUCCAGUUUCCCAAAAUCAGAACCUUCGGUUUUCAAACCUGCUAGAUGUUAGUGACAUGUGGCACAAAAAACCGAAACCCUCUGUUUCCAAAAUCGGAACUUCCUGUUUUGCCACUGCCUGACCCGUCAGUGUGUACGUGUGGCUUUUGUGUCUCUCAUCCCUCAUAGGAUACUUGAGCACUGAGACUUUGUCAAAUGACCAUGUGAUGCAUCCCUCUUGAUUGUACAGCACACCUAUACUCAAGAUCAAAACAUAAAUACAAUAUUUAUCCUCUUGAGCUUUAUUACCAUGAUCCAUGCCAUACUUUUUCAACAUAUCCACUUGAGAGUUGCAUCCAAUUUUUCCUCUUUGGUUUGAACACUUCAACCUUGAGCUAGUGACUUGGAUCAAUAUUCAACCGCAUAUGAAUGAAACCCAAUUUUAGAUCACAAGUCACUUCUUCAUAUGACUCAAUAAACAUUUGAUGCAUCCCAUUGCUAUACUCGGUAAGGCUUGACUUGAUACCUCAAAAUCCUCCAAGCACUGGCUGCUUCACCCUAGAAAAAGUCACGGACCGGGUCACCACUUGACCAAACUUUGCUUAGUAUCUCGUUGCUAAUCAUUUGCUUGAUUCCUUCAUCCAAUUUUUGCUGCAUUGAGUCUAGCUUUAUUUUGACAUCAAGAAUGAAAUCCACUUGAGAUCAUAUCUUCUUUUGACUUCUAUAUCCCAUUUGUUCAUAACAAGCUUCUCAUUUUAUUUAGAGACCAACAGAUAUACUAAUGUCAUCAUGCCUCUAUCUUUACCUCAAUUUGCUUGUCACAUAUCACACACAACCAUCAUAGGAUUUACAUAAUAUUCCUUAUUAUGACAUUCAUCUUGAACUCAAACAAUCUUGCAAUAUCAAGCUAUCAACCAAGCCUCAACUCACCUUUACACCAUUUCUUGCUUUCCAUGCUUAGAUGAACAAUGCCAUAUACCACACUUGUUCUUCUUACUAUAUGAGCCAUUUAAUACAAUCUUUCCCACAAACAUUAUUCAUCAAUAGCAUUACACCUGCUCAUAUACUUAAUCAGUUCAUUAGACCUUUAAUCAAGUUGUCAUUCAACUCACCAAAAACCACUAGGGGCCUAGAUGCUCUUUCAGCAAGACUCACCCGAAUCGGAGCUAAAACGAAGAAGGUUUGAGGCAAACAUGGUUUCAGGGACUUAGAUGCAAUUAACUAUAGAUUUGAAGGGCUAGCAAGAAAGAUCUACAAGACACGUAAAACAGUGCUCGCAAAAAGGAUAAGGCUCAGGGUUAGAUCUGCAAAACGGAAGGGUUUCAGGUUAGAUUGAAAGGAACUGGAAACUUAUAAGGGGUUUUUGGUAAAGUUUCCAAGACACAAUAAAAGGAUAAAUAAUUACAGAUUUGGCCAGGAGCCUAUCUGCAAUCAUUGGCCAUCUUCUUCCCAUGGCCUGCGGCAGCUCUGGCCGACCGGCUUGCCGGUGCUUUGGCGAGCUGGGGACCAAGGCGAGGAGGAGAAACGAGAGAGGAGAGCUUGGGGAUCCUCCUGAUGUUCUCACUGGCAGCUGGUAUGGUGGAAUCGGGCUGAAAAUUUGGCCGAUGACGGACAGUAGACGGCGGCCGGGUCGCCAUUGCGUGGCGGUGCUGCUCCGGUGACGGAACGACGUCGAGAACCAAUGGUGAUCGCGUGGCUCAACCUCAUUGACAAGCUAGCGAAGACGGCAUGCCCCGAGGAUGACAGGGUGCGCCAAAUCGGCCGGAAAAGCCAUCGGCAACGCUUGGCUCGGCCGGCUAGCUAGCAAAGCGGCGGCGCUGCGCAAGAUGAGGAUGGGGCGAGGCGGCGCAGGCGUGAGCAGAGGCAGCAGAGCGAGUAGGGAAUGUGGCUUCGCUAUUUAUAGGGGCAGGGGUGGAGACCUGGCUUGGCGCGCACGCCUAGGAGAAGGCGGCGGUAGCCAUGGCCGACCCAAGGUUUGGCACCGCCCGAUGGGCCUCGACGAGCUGGAUGGCCGGGAGGCGGCCGGAGUGGUUCGAGCCCACGGGCUCGGCCCUAUAGGAUAGGGUUAGAUUUUUAGAAAUGAUUUCUUGUGAAAGAAAAAUUCAGAAAAAUUCUAGAUAAUUUAUUUAAAUCAUGAAAAAUAUCCUAAAAGUUCCAUAAAAUUCUAGGAAAAUUCCCAGAGAUAGAUUGGGCCACAAGGAAUCCAAAUAAAAUACUUGGAACCCGUUAAAAAGAAACUAGAGCCUUCCAAAAAAAUAGAUUUAGCUCUAGAAAAAUGAGAACAAAUUCCAGAAAAAUCCGAAACAUAUCUCAGAGAACCUAACAGUCGUAAGAACGCAUUUUUAAACUGUUUCACACUCAAGUAAUAAGAAAUGCAACCAGCAUGAAUGCAACACACAGAAACUAAGGUUCAUUAAGUUAAUUUAGAAAAAGAUUUUAAUGUCUAAUAAAUUCACAAAGAAACCUUAAGGCCUUAAACGAAGUCAAACAAAUUCUAGAAGAUUCUAAUUAAUUUUAUUAAAUUGCAAAAGGUGAAAAUUAGGGUGUUACAAGUGGGAGGUCAUGCAUACAUGGCCUCCUUUUCGGCGGCGGGAGGCGGCACCGUGUGGAUGAGAUAGGAGCGAGGAGAGACAAAGAGAGUGAAGAGAGAAAAGGAAGCUAGCAUGUAGGCUCCACUGACACGUCAGCAAAGCCUCCAUCAAAACAGUUAGACAGGCAAAUGUAAAUACUUUUAAUAGUAUGAUGGUAAAAGAUUUCUAGUUUAAGUUUCAUGGUCAAAAUUAAACUCCAACAAUAGUUCGAUGGUCAAAUAUAAACUUUCCUCGCGUGGUUUGACUUUACGAGUCUUAUGAUAUCAUAAUAUGACUAUUAUUAUCAUUUCAUCGGUCAUGCCAUGCCCAUCAUACUGACAGCAUUAUCGGUCAUGAAAUUGUUCACCCUCUUAUGGAGAUUUAAUAGUAAAAUAUAUGCUGAACAAUGUCCUUAUCCAAACUAUGGUGCCUGCUUUUGGUAUUUCACAUCGAGGUUUGUGGGAUGUUUUCAUUUAGUGUUGCAGUUUUGUAUAGGCGAAAUAGGCAUUUUGUAGUGUUGCAGUUUAAAGUUUUGUAUAGGCAAACUAGGCAUUUUGGUCCCUAAAAUUAUUCCAUCCCUCAACUUUCAGAAUGUCCAUUUUAGUCCCUCGACUUUCGUUUUGGGUUAAACUCGUCCUUGUGCUGAUACGUAACUCCAUAUUAGCAUGAAACUAAUACGAAAAGUCCUUUGUACCCUUAACUUUUUUCUCUUCAAUUUUCACCUUUAGAAUUACAAUAACGUAUGAUCCAAAAUAAAUAUGAAGAUACAUAUGUUUGCGAGGGAGUAUGAAUACAUACAUGGAGUAUGUAUAACGUAGCACAAGUAUAGUAUACAUACAUACGUAUAUGUACCAAAAGAAUAUGUGUACAUAUAUUUUGCCUAUUAAAUUCGUUUGGGGACGAAACUCUGCUCACUCUGCAGCAGUGAAACUAUACACGCGUUAAAGGAUUUUCCUUUCAACACGGUUGUACAUGGACAUCUCACUCAUACCACAGGAAUUGAUAUCUAACAGAACAUGAUAGUGUAAGCUUAAAUAUUUGAACCCGAGCAUCAGUAGUUCGUCUGUUAUAAUCAUGCCAUGGGCCAUGGCGGACCAUCCUUUUCCAAUUGAGACUAGCAAGUUGCAUGCAUUAUUGUGUGUCGUGAUAUAGCUGGACGCUGGUAGCUGCACACAAUUUGCAUGGACAAUGACUGUGCGAUGACCGGACACAAAGCCGGAGGCUUGGGAUGGAUUUGUCUGUUGCAGACUUGCAGUCGUCGUCUCGUCGAUUAGCAGCCUUAUGUAAAGUUGUAAUGACUCAGCAGCUACCUCUGGUGCCACAGGCGCCAUUGUUUAGUGUCCUAGCUAGUCAUGUUUAACUACACCUAUAAGAUAAGGAGACGCAAUAGUUUCUUGAUGGCAUAGCACAAGAUUCGGUCAAAUUUGGAGCAAUACGGUAUGAGACUGUCUAAAGCGCGAGAACGGCACACACACUCUAAUCUCUAGCCUAUGCUUUCAGCUCAGCAGCGUUAUUGGAAGAGCCCAGCCCAGAUUAUCGAGCCUAAAGGCCCAUGCUCCACGCACCACCUCGUGCUUAGCCCGCCGCCGCUGGUCGCGCGCCGGCGGUGCUCGUUGAGGGCGGGGCGGGGCGGGGCGGAGACGGGAGCCGCUGCCACGGCUGCACCCCAUGCUGCACGGCCGCGGUGGCGCGGUCCACUGUCCAGUGCCCAGUGCCCAUUUCAGCAGUUUCUCAAUAGUUGACUUUGUCCGCUUUACAGUUGCUGGGUUGGUAGCCGACGAGUGUACUGUUCACCUGAUCAUAUCUUGGUCUGAGGCACAACAUUGGUCCUGUGUUAGUUCCAGUCCCGGCUAGCUCAACAACCAGAUGCAUUGACGCUUUGUCUGGGUUUUCACAUCUUUGGUAGUUCAUUUGUGGUAUGCCUAGAGGGGUCUUCCACUCUAUCCCAAAUAUGAUAUAUCGAUUACUUGAUUGCCUACCCCAACCUGCAUGGAAUGGGACAAAGAGGCUUUGUAGUUGUAAUUUUAGAUCGAUAGCUAUCGUUAGAUGCAAUUCUGCACUCGGAUUGAACAAAUCUUCAUAAGAUUAUAUCAAUAACAAUGGCGUUUUCUCCUGAUUUAGAGCACAAAUUACAACAGAAUCUAGCAUGGAUAUUAUUGAAGAAAUGUUACAGUUAACUUUUUUUUCUCUCAUCUAUAUGUUAUUUGUUCCCCUUAGUACAAAGAACCUUAUUUAUGCAGGCUUUAAGCAGGUCCUACCAUUACAUUUGGGCUACUGACGUCAUCUACUAAAACAAGCAUCUGGACCACAUUUUCCAUGGUUGGUCUUCUGUCUCUAUCUUCCUCCAUGCAUGAAACAGCCAGCCUCAUCAUUGUUCUUGCUUUCAAAUUGUUGAAUUGACCAUUCAGUCUAGCGUCAAUAAAGUCGGCGAUCCAAGAUUGUUCACUGCCAUUGCCAUCCAACUUCAGCUUUUCAUUGACCAUCCUUGAUAUCCUUCCAAGGACCAUCUCCACUUCCUCAUCCUCAUUAUUUUCCAUGUCAGAGGCACGAACUCCCUUGAGUAGUUCUAGUAGCACCACUCCAAAGCUGUAGACAUCAACCUUUGCUGUAAUUGGGAGACUAGAAACCCAUUCAGGCGCUAAAUAACCUCUAGUUCCUUGGACCUUUGAAACAUUUAUGUUGGAUCCACCUCUGGUCUGGAGCUUUGCAAGGCCAAAGUCAGCAACCUUUGGCACCAAGUUCUCAUCCAGCAGUAUAUUUUCGGGCUUCACAUCACAGUGGAUGACCCACUCUGAACACUCGUGGUGAAGAUAUGCCAAUCCUCUAGCCACCCCUAGGGCAAUGUUAAAUCUUUGCUUCCAUCCAAGUAAGAUUUCUGAACCCUCAGUACCAAAAUAAGACUUUAUCCAAUGAACCAUUCUCAAAAUAUUAUGUAACCAAUAUCCUAUGUGGACCAUCAGAACAGAAACCCCAAACUCUCUCAAGAUUCAUAUGGUAAAUCCUACUAAUCACACUCAGUUCAUGCUGGAAUUCUUCUUCACUUUGGUUUAUUUCUGCCAACUUUUUCACAGCUACUGCCCUGUUGUCUCUCAGGACUCCUUUGUAUACAAUGCCUGAUGAUCCCCUUCCAAUUUCAUCCUUGAACUUUCUAGUCGCUGACACCAACUCUCUGUAGGUGUACCUGCGAAAAUGGUUAGUUAUCAUUUCAUAUCCAGCCUCAGCUGCCAUACUCCUCUUAGUUCCCUGCGCUCCCUCCUCAUAAUAAACCAUCCAAAUACAACAAACAUAAGCUCUGCCAGAAAUAUUGCUGAUAAAAAUCCAUAGAAGUACAAAUACUUCGACUCACUCUAAUCUCUCUUAAGCAUACCCAGAAAAUCUGCUAUAAAGUAUUUAUUUGGUGUACUACAGUCAGGACCAUACUUAGGAGCAAAAGGUUGUGACUGCGGAAUUGAGGCAUCCAACACUUCUAGUCCCUUAGGAAUCUUGAUGUACAUGGUACCAGUACUGCCAAGGUUAUGCAGGGUUACACCACCAAGCAUAACAGACUUUGGAUAGCAAUCUCCAGUUCCUUCCCAGUAUGCAAAACCCUUACAAUUGCAGUCAUGCAAGCAUUUCUUCAUGCAAAAGUCAAGAGAAAUGAAACGGUGGGUAGUCAUAUCAUACCCAAAGAAAUCAGUGUGGGGUAGCUUAGCAAAUUUCACCUUCUGUGCAUCACAACUGAUGUUGGUCUUUGGUCUGCAGCCUUUGCUCCGGUCGCUUGGGUCAAUGACUACAAAACCAGGGGCACACGCACAAGCAGGCGCAGGCGUAUACACGUUGUACCUAUGUGAUUUCUUUGUAGCUUAAUUAAUCUUAUGUAAUUUGAUAUUUACAGCCUAGGAGUUUGAAUACCUUUUUAUUGAAAAUCCAUUGAAAGCACGGUCAAGCGGCCAGUUCACAAAGAAUAAAACUUUUGCAGAAAUGGGUUUGCGCUACUUCAAUAAAAAAACGCCAAGACAAUUUGGUAAACAGAACUUUCAAUGAAUUUCAUAAAAAAAAAGAACUUCCAAUGAAAAAAAAAUCAAUGUUAAAAUUGACCACACUGGAUACUAACCUGACACCAAUUUCACCCUUCCAUUACAAAUUGAUGGCUCUUGAAAUAAGACUUAAUCCGUUUGUAUGGUUGAAUUGCUGCGUGAUAUCUUACCCAAAUGUGUAUCCAGCACCUCUCGGAGAAAUUCCCCAUCCACAUCGAUCAUCCGGAUCAGACCACAACAGAUCACGCAUAGGCCCUUCAUGUGGGACCUACAACCAUUUUAGGGAACAGAGCAAACUAUUAAUCAAGUUAAACAAAAUUUGUGUAAAACAACAAACUCAUUCAGGGCAUUAAGGGCCUAUUAAGGGUCUAUUUGUUUGAGUUAACAGUUUCUCAGCAUGAAAAGUCAGAAGCUCAAACAAACAGCGAAUUUCUAAUGCAGCUUCCGGAAAGCUGAAAGCUCCAAAAAGCUGAGUUUAUAUGGAAAGAAAAAGCUAACAACAGUUUCUCAAAAAACUCAAAAGCUACAGCUCAAACAAACAAACCCUAGCCCCAUUGUCGAUUUGCCAUUUAUAGACCCAAAAGCCCAUCUGGGCUGCUUCCGUGGCCCACUCCACGGUUCACACUUUCGACCUAGAGCAAAAUGCCAAAACCCAUCUCCCAAUCUUGCGACGGCGGCGCUCAUUGAGGGCUGGGCUGCCGGAGAACGGAGCAGCUGGCCGUUGUGCCUCCCCCACGGCGGAGCAGCAUGAUGCAGGGGUGCACAGGCUUGGUUCAGAGCCCAUUCGACCACACAGGUAUGACCGUACGACUCUAUGAAUAAGUGAGUAACAGCAGCCGCUCAGUUGUUGAUCCGUUUCCCCUUUGCAGCUGUAGAGAGGCUUAAUUGUUAGAUUGAUGUGUUAUCUUUCCAAUCGGAUUGGUUAGGCAUUAGCCAGCAAAUGUACUAUUCACCGAAUUGCUAAAAACUUCCAGUCUAGCCAAAAUACGACCUAUUAGUAUUUGAUUGCCUACCUCAAAACUUGCUUGGGACUACAGCCUCCAAGUGAUAGUAUCAUUGGUGCUUGCAUUGAACGAAUUAAAAUGAAAAAUGCUCUAUUGGAUGUUCCGAUGGAUCCUAGAAAAGCGUCGGAGCAAGCGUCGAAAUAAUUGGUACGCAACAAAGAAGUCUAGACAAAGUCAACCAUCGGAUAUUCUGAUGGUCACUUUUCUAGUAGCGUUGGACGAAUUCUGAGGGACAGGCUUGGAAGAUGAAAAAAAUCCAAGCACCGAAUGAUCCGACGGUACGCGCAAGAGGAGCGUCAAACAAAGCAUAUUUUCUUUGAUCCCUUACAGAAGGUUUUAGCUAGAAUGCCUUCAACACCGAACGAUCCAACGGCACCAUCGGAGAAAGCAUCGGAGCAAUUACGUCAGGAGAAUCCAACGGCUAUGUGACGUGAGCAGUGGCACCGGAUGAUCUAAUGGGGGCAUCGGAUAAAGCGUUGGAUGAAUUUCUGAAGAACUUGGGCGCGGAGAGUCCAACGGCUAGUUGCACCGGAUGUUCUGAUGCAGGCCAAAAAUAGACCAUCGGAACAUCCGAUGGUAUACUUUUUCACUAACCGUUGGAGCAACGGCUCUUUGAGCCUUUGGGGCUAUUUAUACCCCCACUACUCACCCAUUUGAAGUAGAUGAAGUGUCCAGGGCUGCAUUGAAAACCAAGACUCAUUAAGAACACAUCCAUGCCACCAAAAGUGCUUAAGUGAUACAUCAAAGGCUUAGCACAAGCUUAGGAGAGUGAUUAGUGCUAGGAUAGGCCUAGAGAGGUGUGAGUGCUAGGUGUGUCAACCUUGUGAUCAUGUUCUAGAGUGAACCACCAUUGUACAAGAGGUGUGCCGGCGCCUUGGAGCCUUCGUGGCUCGCUGGCAAGUCUUCGACCCUCCGGCUUGGUGUGGAGCGGCGUCAACGACCUUGUGCGGGGGACGUGGAGACCUCCUUCUUUCGUGAAGAAGCUCCUUAGUGAAAACGGCAUUAAAGUGAUCGAGGGACUUGGCGUGAGCCUUAGUGGACGAGCCUUUGUGGCAAGUCAAGGGGCAACUUGGGAGAGACUUGGUGACCGGGAAACAAUACUCUUGUGUGAUUACUUCAACAACGUAGACUAAUGGUGACUUAGUGCCUACCGAUACCACAAGAUAAAUCCUUGUGUCAAAAGUUUGCUUCCUCUCAUCCGCUCCUUACGUUUCCGCAUUUCAUACUUGCAACUUGUGUGCCUUUACUUUCCUAGAGUAGUAUCUUGAUAGGAUUAGCUAUAUGUUGCAAAACUUGUUUUGAGAUGAGGAUUUAGAAUGCACUUCUAGGAUAGAAUGAUCUAGUUUACUUACAUGUAAAGUAGUGGAAGCCAUAGGUUAAGUUUUUAAGUUGCCUAAUUCACCCCUCCGGCAGCAGUCACCAGAUCCUUGAAAGUAUGCGAACCCAUUACAUUUGCAGUCACUCAAACAUAUCUGCUUGCAGAAGUUAAGAGAGACAGAACGUUGAGCACUUAGAUCUACCCGUAGAAGUUAGUGCUGGGUAGAUGAACAAAUUUCACCUUUUCCUCAUCACAAGUAAUAUUGAUCUUUGGUCUGCAGCCUUCACCCCAGUCACUUUGGUCGAUGACUUCAAAACCAGGGGGGCACUUCAAAAACAGGAGUAUACACACAUAUUCCAUCUCUGCCACUUAACCAUAUACCUUGCAGAGCUGUGGAAACACCAUCCAUGUGACUGACCAUGUUCCAUUAUCGUUCAGACUAUACAGUCUGAGAUUGCCAUCAUAAUCCAAUGUUAGCCUUCUUAUAAUGUGACUACCCCAGUCACAGCCAUGAAAGAUGUGCUAUCACUUCCCUGAAACUGCCCCAAACUGUCAAGAACACCGCUUGCGUUCAUCAUAAACUGUAACCUUAGCUUUGCCCAUAUAGUCAUAGCUGGAUCUGGCCAAUAGAUGAGUGAGAGAUCCUUUUGAUCAUCAAAUAGUGAAAUCAGGAAGUGAUCAUCAAAAUGUAAGCUAUAGUGGCCAGGAACAAGCAAUCUAUUAGUGGACACGAGCUUGGUGGUAACAUUAAUCCUGAGUGGGUAACAAGGUAUCAGUAGGAGAAUUAAAGCUUUGCCAUAGAAUGAUUUCACCUUUGCCUUUCACGAUGAGGUUCCCUGUGUCCAAGAGUUGAGCUUGUCCUGCAAUUGAGGACCUCACAUUGUUGGUUCACACGGUCUGACCAGUGUAAUCUUUAGCACCAUGCUUCCAUCAAAAUUUAGUUUGACAUUUGAUCCCCAGCUGUACACGGGAUGAAGAGGAUUUGCACUCCAGACAACGGGUCUUUCAGAAACAUUGGAGAACCAAACGAAGAAGGUGGAUGCGUUGGGGGAGAUGUUGUAGAAGCCACAAAUGAAUCUACCAUUUUGCGAACGGAGCACGUCGAUGCUCUGCUCUGCUGAGAGAGAGGAGCCUGGUGAGAGGACAUCUAUUGCAGAGUUAUGGCAAAGACGAUGAAUCAGAAUGAGAAGAAACACAAAUGUGGAGACUGCAGCCAUGGCUAUCCCAGCAUUUGAGUUGAUCUUCAAAUGACCUGGAUGGAGGACGCUAUUAUAGGAACCAACUUGCAAUGCACUAUCCAGCCUCCAGAAGCAAGUGAUAGACUCGGCCAACAUUAUUGAAGUCAGUUAAGAUUCGGUGAAUAGUGAACCGUGCUGUGGAGUCUUUAUUCAUUUGUGAUUUAACGUUGUAGAGAAGGCUCUUUUCCGACUGAGAGGGACUGCACCAUGUGCGGUCUGCCGGUCUCUCGUAUUAUCUGUAAGCCUUCGAUAAAAUCAAAGGUAACAAUAUAGAUUAUUAAUUUCUCAAAGGGUCACCUGUCAAGAUGUUUUUUUCAAUCUGACGCUAAGAUUUCAAGGUGUAUGCUACAAUAUGAAAUAUGUAUUGAUAUUGCACUUAUUUGGUAUUGCACGUGUUAAUAAUUUCUCUUUCUACAAAUUUAGUCAAAGUUAGAAAACUUGACUUAGGACAAAAAUGGGACCUAAAUUUGGAACAGAAGGAUUACGUGAUGUCUUCACAAGUAUCUAAAGUGAUUGUCUCUUUCUGAAGAGAUGGCCUAAAAUCUACUCUUGUCAACUCAAGAUUCUAGUGGGUGAUAUAAAAUUGAUGCAAAUGAGAUACAGCUAUAGUGUUUCUUUUUCUUACACGAAUACUACCUAUCUUUGUUUGUUUUGUUUUAACGGAAGAUGCACUCCUGAAGUGUAAUUGCUAGCUAUACGAGCUCGCUCGGCGUACAGAUUGUUCUUUGAGGGAGCGACGAGGUUUGCAGGAGCACGGGCCAUCUGAAGAGCCUGGGCACAUAUGAAAGUCAAAUUCUUCAUGUGGCUUGCGGUUCGUCAGCGUGGACAAUAGGCAGAAGGCACAGACGGGCUUUGCGAGACCUGACCAGUGUCACCAAGUUCUUGUACGAUUGGAUCGUGGAACGGGUAGGCGGGUACAAAACGGGUAUACCCCUUCGGAACGAUGAAUCGAGACUUUGGAAUGUGAACCAAUUACUUUCUGUAGGAUAGCUUGGUACGAUAUGCUAUCGAACUUUCACAUAGGUAAAAAAAAUUAGAAAAGAAGGAUAAAAGAAAUAAAUAUACUAUUGGGUUGUCAUUUACAUGCUCUCUUAGUAGUUCCAGCAGCACCAAUCCAAAGUUGUAGACAUCAACCUUUGCUGUAAUUGGGAGACUAGAAACCCAUUCAGGCGCUAAAUAACCUCUAGUUCCUCAAAAUAAAUCAUCCUAAUGCAACAAACAUUAGCUCGGACAGAAUUAUUGCUUAUAAAAAUCCGUAGAAGUACAAGGUGAUACAAUCAGAUAUCUGUAAAGCACACUAGAGCAGAUUUUACGGUGCUAUAGCACACAUACUUACAACACAAUAUAGCAUGGAUACUGCAUAUUUGAUAGAACUACCAUUUUCUAUCAAUGUAUUGUUUGCAUGGCCCUUAGUACAAAGAACCAUUUGGACGCAGGCUUUUAAUAAGCAACUCCUCCCAUUUUAGUUGCACUGCUGACAGCGUCAACUGAAACAAGCGUCUGCACCACAUUUUCCAUAGUUGGUCUUCUGCCUCUAUCUUCCUCCAGACAUGAAACAGCUAGCUUAAUCAUUGUUCUUGCUUGCAAGUAGUUGAAGUCGCCAUUCAGUCUACUGUCAAUAAAGUUGGGGAUCCAAAAUUGUUCAGUGCCAUCCAACUGCAAAUUCUCUUUAAGCAUCCUGACUAUCCUUCCAAGGACCAUCUCCACCUCCUCAUUCUCAUUAUUUUCCAUGUCCGAAAUUCGGGCUCCCUUUAGUAGUUCCAGUAGCACCACUCCAAAGCUGUAAACAUCUACCUUUGCGGUUAUUGGGAGACUAGAAACCCAUUCAGGAGCUAAAUAACCUCUAGUUCCUUGGAUCCGAGAAACAUCUAUAUUUGAUCCACCUCUGUUCAAGAGCUUCGCGAGGCCAAAGUCAGCGAUCUUUGGCACCAAGUUCUCAUCCAGCAGUAUAUUUUCAGGCUUGACAUCACAGUGGAUGACCCACUCUAAGCACUCAUGAUGAAGAUACGCCAAUCCUCUUGCCACGCCUAAGGCAAUAUUAAACCUUUGCUUCCAUUCAAGUAAGAUUUCUGAGCCUUCGACGGCGAACAAGGUUUUUUCCAACGAGCCAUUCUUCACAUAUUCUGAAAUCAAUAUCCUGUGUGGACCAUCAGAACAGAAUCCCCAGACUCUCACUAGAUUCAUAUGGUAAAUCCUGCCAAUCACACUUAGUUCAUGCUGGAAUUCUUCUCCACCUUGGUUUAUAUCUCCCAAUUUUUUCACAGCUACAACCCUAUUGUCUUUCAAAACUCCUUUGUACACGAUGCCUGAUGCUCCCCUUCCAAGCUCAUCCUUAAAUUUUCUAGUAGCUUUCACUAACUCUCUAUAGGUAUAUCUUCGGAAAUGGUUUGUUAUCAUUUCAUAGCCUGCCUCAGCUGGCCAUGCUCCUCUGAGUUGUCCUCUCUCCCUUCUCAAAAUAAACCAUCCUAAUACAAUAAAUAUUAACUCUGCUACAAAUAUCGCUGAUAAAAACCCGUAGAAAUACAAAUACUUUGAUAUAUUCUGACUGGCCUUAUUCAUAUUGGAGAAGUUGGCAAUGACAUAUUCGUUUGCUGCACUGCAGUUUGGUCCAUAUUCAGGACCAAAAACUUGUGGCCGAGGAAUUGAGGACCCAGAUACUUCUAAGUCCUUUGCGAUUUUAAGGUACACGCUACCGAUACCAUCUAGACUUCUGCCGUUUAGUAGAAUAGCCUUCGGGUAGCAGUCACCAAGUCCUUGAAUGUAUGCGAACCCAUUACAAUUGCAGUCAAUCAAACAUAUCUGCUUGCAGAAGUUAAGAGAGACAGAACGGUGAGCACUUAGAUCUUGCCCGUUGAAGUUAGUGUUGGGUAGAUGAACAAAUUUCACCGUUUGCUUAUCACAAGUAAUAUUGAUCUUUGGUCUGCAGCCUUCGCCCCAGUCACUUUGGUCGAUGACUUCAAAACCAGGGGGGCAUACACAGGUUGGCACAGGAGUAUACACACAUAUUCCAUUUCUGCCGCAGACACCAUGUAUCUUGCAGAGCUGUGGAAACGCCAUCCAUGUGACUGACCAUGUUCCAUUAUCGUCCAGACUAUACAGUCUGAGAUUGCCAUCAUAAUCCAACGUUAGCCUUCUUAUAAUGUGACUACCCCAGUCCGCAGCCAUGAAAGAAGUGUUAUCGCUUCCCCAGAACUGCCCCAAGCUGUCUAGAACACCACUUGUGUUGAUCAUAAAAGGUAUCCUUAGCUUUUGCCAGAUAGUCAAAGUUGGAUCUGGCCAAUAGAUGAAUGAGACAUCCUUUUGAUUUUCAAAUAGUGAAAUCAGGAUCUGAUCAUCAAAAUGUAAGCUAUAGUGGCCAGGAACAAGCAAUCUAUUAGUGGACACGAGCUUGAUGGUAGCAUUAAUCCUCUGAGUGGGUAACAAGGUAUCAGUAGGAGAAGUAAAGCUUUGCCAUAGAAUGGUAUCACCUUUGCCCUUCACGAUGAGAUUUCCAGUGUCCAAGAGCUGAGCUUGUUCUGCAUUUGAGGAGCUCACGUUGUUGGUCCACACAAUCUGGCCACCGUAGUCCCUUAGAACCAUGCUCCCAUCGACAUUUAACUUGACCUUUGAUCCCCAGGUGUACACAGGGCGGAGAGGAUUUGCACUCCAUACAACAGUUCUUUCAGACACUUUGGAGAACCAAAUGGAGAAGGUGGAUGAGUUGGGGGAGAUUUUGUAGAAGCCACAGCUGAACGUACCAUCUGGCGAACGGAGUACAUCGGAGCUG